GAUGAACGCUGGCGGCGUGCCUAAUACAUGCAAGUCGAGCGAACGGACGAGAAGCUUGCUUCUCUGAUGUUAGCGGCGGACGGGUGAGUAACACGUGGAUAACCUACCUAUAAGACUGGGAUAACUUCGGGAAACCGGAGCUAAUACCGGAUAAUAUUUUGAACCGCAUGGUUCAAAAGUGAAAGACGGUCUUGCUGUCACUUAUAGAUGGAUCCGCGCUGCAUUAGCUAGUUGGUAAGGUAACGGCUUACCAAGGCAACGAUGCAUAGCCGACCUGAGAGGGUGAUCGGCCACACUGGAACUGAGACACGGUCCAGACUCCUACGGGAGGCAGCAGUAGGGAAUCUUCCGCAAUGGGCGAAAGCCUGACGGAGCAACGCCGCGUGAGUGAUGAAGGUCUUCGGAUCGUAAAACUCUGUUAUUAGGGAAGAACAUAUGUGUAAGUAACUGUGCACAUCUUGACGGUACCUAAUCAGAAAGCCACGGCUAACUACGUGCCAGCAGCCGCGGUAAUACGUAGGUGGCAAGCGUUAUCCGGAAUUAUUGGGCGUAAAGCGCGCGUAGGCGGUUUUUUAAGUCUGAUGUGAAAGCCCACGGCUCAACCGUGGAGGGUCAUUGGAAACUGGAAAACUUGAGUGCAGAAGAGGAAAGUGGAAUUCCAUGUGUAGCGGUGAAAUGCGCAGAGAUAUGGAGGAACACCAGUGGCGAAGGCGACUUUCUGGUCUGUAACUGACGCUGAUGUGCGAAAGCGUGGGGAUCAAACAGGAUUGGAUACCCUGGUAGUCCACGCCGUAAACGAUGAGUGCUAAGUGUUAGGGGGUUUCCGCCCCUUAGUGCUGCAGCUAACGCAUUAAGCACUCCGCCUGGGGAGUACGACCGCAAGGUUGAAACUCAAAGGAAUUGACGGGGACCCGCACAAGCGGUGGAGCAUGUGGUUUAAUUCGAAGCAACGCGAAGAACCUUACCAAAUCUUGACAUCCUUUGACAACUCUAGAGAUAGAGCUUUCCCCUUCGGGGGACAAAGUGACAGGUGGUGCAUGGUUGUCGUCAGCUCGUGUCGUGAGAUGUUGGGUUAAGUCCCGCAACGAGCGCAACCCUUAAGCUUAGUUGCCAUCAUUAAGUUGGGCACUCUAAGUUGACUGCCGGUGACAAACCGGAGGAAGGUGGGGAUGACGUCAAAUCAUCAUGCCCCUUAUGAUUUGGGCUACACACGUGCUACAAUGGACAAUACAAAGGGCAGCGAAACCGCGAGGUCAAGCAAAUCCCAUAAAGUUGUUCUCAGUUCGGAUUGUAGUCUGCAACUCGACUACAUGAAGCUGGAAUCGCUAGUAAUCGUAGAUCAGCAUGCUACGGUGAAUACGUUCCCGGGUCU
RNAcentral lists this ribosomal RNA (1372 nucleotides) under uncultured bacterium. RNAcentral's name for it is "bacterial SSU rRNA". It matches the Rfam family "Bacterial small subunit ribosomal RNA", at positions 28 to 1381 of the family's 1533-position model. The record is from RNAcentral.